GCAGUACUGAUGCUUUUGACCCAGGGAGCCCACUGUGAGAAUCACUGACCUAAAGAAACCUUCACAGUAAGUAUCUGCAAUGAUUCUAAACAAUGAAAACCAGUAAAUUAGACCGAAUUAGAAUUUGUUUGUAUUUGCUUUUGUAAAGAGUCUGAAGAAAUAUUUUUUAAGAUGGUGUACAUUCCUGGGACUGUAUGCCGUAUCUCCAUCUAGACACCAAAGGUUUUCUGGGGUACUGCUCAAAUGAGAAUACCGGGAGAUACAAACGUUUUCCGUUUGCAUUUUAAUUACUUGAAAAUUAAUGCUCACAAAUGUGUUCCCAAGUACAAUGAUCGUUUCCUCUAUUAUUCAAUGCUUAUCCAAACAUUCCACUGAAGUGAACUGAACCGUUAGUUGCUCAGUUGUGUCCAACUGUCUGCAACCCCAUGUGGACUGUAGCCCACAAGGCUCCUCUGUCCAUGAGAUUUCCCAGGCAAGGAGUGGAUUGCCACUUCCUUCUCCAGAGAAUCUUCCCCAUGAGGGAAGCCAAUGCUUAUUAAAACACUCCACUAAAUAAAUACAAAAUGUUUUAGGAUGUAAGCACUGUAAGGUUGAAAGGAAUGUUUUCUCACAACUUUGGAGAAAGCAAACGGAUAAGAUACCUAAAACUGUCUCACUGAGCUAUCAGUGAUGCUCACUGAGUACCGAAGGGGAAGUAAAAAGCCACAUUUGCAUCCUCCCUUUAUUGGAUCAGUUACUGUUCAGUAGAAACAAAUCACCUGACCUGGGCGGUCUUAGAUUCUGAACUUGCUUUCCCUUAGACCUUUUCAUAAACAAAUAACUAGAAAUUUCUCUAAGAAGGGGAGAGGCCAGUUCCUCCUUUCAGCUCCUGUCAAGUGUGCCUGUGCUCAGCCAGGAGGGUUCAUUGUUACAGGCGUGGAACCUGUUCUUCCGAAACCUCGCCUGGGAGCUUGCUCUGAGGUCUGCAGGCUCCCCUGUCAGGACCCACCUGGACAAUGUCACCUUCAGAGGCAGACCAUCCCACAGGAUUACUGGACUUCUAUGCCUGAAACAGAUUAGAAGAAACCAAGGAAUGAAAGAACCUGCCAUAGGCAAGUACAAAACUAGAAUUAAUGACUAAAAAUUCGGGAGUACAUCAGUGUGGGGCCAUUUCAUAUGGGGUAAACAAUCGUAUGCUACAAAAACCUGCAGCAAUUACUGUAGUCUCCAUAGAACUACAGUAACUAGUCAUAACAGUGCAUGUUAGCUAAUCUCAUGAGUGACAAUCAACAUAGGACAGGUCUUCAAGAAUUUACGAGUGCCC
Molecule: long non-coding RNA, 1303 nt
Filed under: Bos indicus x Bos taurus (hybrid cattle)
Lineage: Eukaryota; Metazoa; Chordata; Mammalia; Artiodactyla; Bovidae
Description: lncRNA (ENSBIXG00000023801.1)
Source: RNAcentral